GCCAGGCAUGGUGGCUCAUGCCUGUAAUCUCAGCACUUCAAGAGGCUGAGGUGGGAGGAUCACCUGAGGUCAGGAGUUUGAGACCAGCCUGGCCAACAUGGUGAAACCCCAUCUCUA
RNAcentral lists this small RNA (117 nucleotides) under Pongo abelii (Sumatran orangutan). Its description in RNAcentral is "Metazoan signal recognition particle RNA (ENSPPYG00000037541.1)". Lineage: Eukaryota; Metazoa; Chordata; Mammalia; Primates; Hominidae. The record is from Rfam by way of RNAcentral.